RNAcentral lists this ribosomal RNA (1667 nucleotides) under Salmonella enterica. RNAcentral's name for it is "partial 23S ribosomal RNA". It matches the Rfam family "Bacterial large subunit ribosomal RNA", at positions 1280 to 2925 of the family's 2925-position model. The record is from RNAcentral. Lineage: Bacteria; Pseudomonadati; Pseudomonadota; Gammaproteobacteria; Enterobacterales; Enterobacteriaceae. RNAcentral also lists the same sequence under 5 other names.
UAUCAGAAGUGCGAAUGCUGACAUAAGUAACGAUAAAGCGGGUGAAAAGCCCGCUCGCCGGAAGACCAAGGGUUCCUGUCCAACGUUAAUCGGGGCAGGGUGAGUCGACCCCUAAGGCGAGGCCGAAAGGCGUAGUCGAUGGGAAACGGGUUAAUAUUCCCGUACUUGGUGUUACUGCGAAGGGGGGACGGAGAAGGCUAUGUUGGCCGGGCGACGGUUGUCCCGGUUUAAGCGUGUAGGUGUGUGUUCCAGGUAAAUCCGGUUCACUUUAACACUGAGGCGUGAUGACGAGGCACCACGGUGCUGAAGCAACAAAUGCCCUGCUUCCAGGAAAAGCCUCUAAGCAUCAGGUAACAUCAAAUCGUACCCCAAACCGACACAGGUGGUCAGGUAGAGAAUACCAAGGCGCUUGAGAGAACUCGGGUGAAGGAACUAGGCAAAAUGGUGCCGUAACUUCGGGAGAAGGCACGCUGACACGUAGGUGAAGUGAUUUACUCAUGGAGCUGAAGUCAGUCGAAGAUACCAGCUGGCUGCAACUGUUUAUUAAAAACACAGCACUGUGCAAACACGAAAGUGGACGUAUACGGUGUGACGCCUGCCCGGUGCCGGAAGGUUAAUUGAUGGGGUCAGCGCAAGCGAAGCUCCUGAUCGAAGCCCCGGUAAACGGCGGCCGUAACUAUAACGGUCCUAAGGUAGCGAAAUUCCUUGUCGGGUAAGUUCCGACCUGCACGAAUGGCGUAAUGAUGGCCAGGCUGUCUCCACCCGAGACUCAGUGAAAUUGAACUCGCUGUGAAGAUGCAGUGUACCCGCGGCAAGACGGAAAGACCCCGUGAACCUUUACUAUAGCUUGACACUGAACAUUGAGCCUUGAUGUGUAGGAUAGGUGGGAGGCUUUGAAGCGUGGACGCCAGUCUGCGUGGAGCCGACCUUGAAAUACCACCCUUUAAUGUUUGAUGUUCUAACGUGGACCCGUAAUCCGGGUUGCGGACAGUGUCUGGUGGGUAGUUUGACUGGGGCGGUCUCCUCCUAAAGAGUAACGGAGGAGCACGAAGGUUGGCUAAUCCUGGUCGGACAUCAGGAGGUUAGUGCAAUGGCAUAAGCCAGCUUGACUGCGAGCGUGACGGCGCGAGCAGGUGCGAAAGCAGGUCAUAGUGAUCCGGUGGUUCUGAAUGGAAGGGCCAUCGCUCAACGGAUAAAAGGUACUCCGGGGAUAACAGGCUGAUACCGCCCAAGAGUUCAUAUCGACGGCGGUGUUUGGCACCUCGAUGUCGGCUCAUCACAUCCUGGGGCUGAAGUAGGUCCCAAGGGUAUGGCUGUUCGCCAUUUAAAGUGGUACGCGAGCUGGGUUUAGAACGUCGUGAGACAGUUCGGUCCCUAUCUGCCGUGGGCGCUGGAAGACUGAGGGGGGCUGCUCCUAGUACGAGAGGACCGGAGUGGACGCAUCACUGGUGUUCGGGUUGUCAUGCCAAUGGCACUGCCCGGUAGCUAAAUGCGGAAAAGAUAAGUGCUGAAAGCAUCUAAGCACGAAACUUGCCCCGAGAUGAGUCUUCCCUGAGACCUUGAGUCUCCUGAAGGAACGUUAAAGACGAUGACGUUGAUAGGCCGGGUGUGUAAGCGCAGCGAUGCGUUGAGCUAACCGGUACUAAUGAACCGUGAGGCUUAACCUU